RNAcentral lists this ribosomal RNA (479 nucleotides) under uncultured bacterium. RNAcentral describes it as "partial 16S ribosomal RNA". It matches the Rfam family "Bacterial small subunit ribosomal RNA", at positions 28 to 507 of the family's 1533-position model. The record is from RNAcentral.
GAUGAACGCUGGCGGCGUGCUUAACACAUGCAAGUCGAGCGAGAAGUUUUGAAAAGAUUCUUCGGAUGAAAUUUAAAAUGGAAAGCGGCGGACGGGUGAGUAACGCGUAGGCAACCUGCCCCAUACAAAGGGAUAGCAUUUGGAAACGAAUAUUAAUACCUUAUGAAACUUAACUAGUGCAUGCUAGGUAGGUCAAAGAUUUAUCGGUAUGGGAUGGGCCUGCGUCUGAUUAGCUAGUUGGUGAGGUAACGGCUAACCAAGGCGAUGAUCAGUAGCCGACCUGCGAGGGCGAACGGCCAAAUUGGAACGGAGACACGGGCCAAACUCCUUCGGGAGGGAGCAGUGGGGAAUAUUGCACAAGGGGGGAAACCCUGAAGCAGCAACGCCGCGUGAACGAUGAAGGCCUUUGGGUCGUAAAGUUCUGUUCUAGGUGAUGAAAACUGACAGUAACCUAGGAGAAAGCCCCGGCUAACUCCGUG